Manis javanica (Malayan pangolin) is the source of this 4264-nucleotide long non-coding RNA. RefSeq lists it as uncharacterized. Lineage: Eukaryota; Metazoa; Chordata; Mammalia; Pholidota; Manidae. The record is from RefSeq and is a predicted model, not a curated record.
UUUGAAUAGCUGUUAAGUUUAAAGAAUAAAAAUCCUUAUAAUAUAUUGCUUCUCUUUAGCCAAACACAGUUAACGACCACAACAAAAAGGGGGAGUAGUGAGGUAAGGGGACUUGAACCAAAAGACCUUUCUUAAAUAAAAAAAAAAAGUAUGCAAGUCAAAAGGUCAUUCUCCAAGUUUGUAAAUAAAAUUGCGAAGGGAGUCCUUAAAAAAGAAAGGAGAGGGAAGAAGGAAGGAAGGUAAAAAAGAUACACAAGUUACAUAAAAUGGUGCAUUGGACAAACAAGACGGGUUCUUUGGGGAAAAAAAAGUCUAAAGAAUCAAGAGGGAAAAAAUCCUGAAAGAAAAAAGAAAAAGAGGGAGAAUAAAAUAAAAGGUAGAAAAGGCAAAAGAAGUUUCCAAAGAAAUGUGUGUUUUGCAUCCUACAAUAGGAAAAUGUAGCCACUGCCCUCCUUCAGACGAGACAUUUCUAAUUUGUUCCGUCUGUCAGGAAGGGACUAUGAGAGGUUUGGGUGCAAAUUCAUUAUCUCUGGCAACGCAGAACGUAGUGUGGGGACUGAAAAAGACCGUGGCAAUGGAUGAACAAUAGGGCUUCAGUUCAUCAGCAACAAAAGCAGUGGGGAAAUUGGUUGAGUUUCUAAGCACGUCCUCCUCGGCAGAGGGGGCUGGACUAGACCUUGGACAGCCCCCCCAAAAACUUGCCGAGCCUCGCACACACCACUUCACUCUCCACUCCGAGGCUAAGAGAGCAAGUGCCUGGCGCGGGGGGUAAAAGUUGGCUUUUUUUCCUCCUUGGGCUUUUGCCCCCUUAUUUCUCACCCCAGAAGGGAAGACCCGUUUAAACUAUUUUAGACGCAAUCAAGCAAGAAUCACUGUGUGGAAUUGAGCGGCAGUUUUAAAUGUGCUAAAGAGAGGGAUGAGCUGAAUUUUUUUUUCUUUUUUUGAGACGCCGAAAGAAGCUGUUUGUGUACUGCAGCCGCCCUGUUACUGUGGAUCUUGUCUUCUGGCCGGUGCCUCGAUUCCCGACCAGCUGGAUUUGGGGGCAACACUGCCUGACGCAGGGAGAACAAAAGAGACUACAAAGAAGCAUAAAAUGAAUAGACAAUCCAACCAACCAAAGACCGGGGGCAGCACGCCAGCAAGAAGGCAUCUUCUCCUUCCCAGCCUAGACGCCCUGGGAAAUCGAGGAUCUUCCCCCAAAAACACACACACACAAGAUAUGUGCAAUCAAGCUGCCACCGCUCGGUGAAAAGCUCAUGGUGCCUAACCCCAAAGGAUCGGGAGAGAUCCUUGAAUCAGCUGUCACUUCUUCUAUAGAAUGGGAUUUUUUUCCUUCCUCCUUAACCUGCGUUGGAAAUUGCCGUUGGCUUUAUACAUCUCUAUAGAGGGAGGCUAAAGAGUCUUGCGUGAGAAUGAAGCAAUUUACAAUGCAAAUAGAGGCCUGUGAAGGGACGGACGCUGCUGCUCACUCUUUACCGCUUGCUGCACCAUAAUAGCUGGUUUUAUUUUCUGAUAUUAAUAGAUGAAUUGUUGGCUAACGCUGCCGGAGAUUACUUGCUGAAAGAAAAAAAAAGUUCGGAAUAAACUUUGAAAGCAACAGAUCUCGUUUGGAUGUUUUAGCCGCACACACAAACAGAAACCAGGUCAUAUUUAUAUACAAGGAUGCAUCUUAUGCACGGCAAGUACCCUGGAGGACUACUCUAACGUACUGCCAGAAAAGAUCGGGAUGUGGAGUCUGGCCUGAGGAAGACAGAGGCGUAUGAGGGAAGUGAGUUGUUAUCUUUGGUUAUCUAGCUGUAUGAGUGUAUUGGUCUUCAUAAAGCUAGAUAACCGAAAGUAAAAACUCCUUCAAGAUCGCCGGAGAGCGUGUGAGUGAAAGACUUCAACCAAGAGACACUAAAAACCAGAAAGGUCAGGAAUACUUACUGAAUCUAACUUUGCUUUUGUUUUUGUUUUUCCUUAUGAUUGAAGGUGGGAUUAGAGGAAGUUAAGUAAUACAUUUAUGCCAAAACAUAAAGAUGCCAGAUACUUUGUGAGGGCUUAUUACAGCUGCAAAGGAUUAUUGCAUUGUGCUAAUGAGUAAAGAUGCAUGUGCAGUUUGUCCUACUUUAAUGCAGAAGUUUAUAUAUGAGUUGGUUUCUUCUUCUUCUUAGAGAGCUGUUGUGCAGAUAGAUGUGUUUGAUGCUAGCUCAAAAAUGAUUCCAUAGUACAUAGACUUAGGCUGUUCCCUUCUGAGGCACUUCCCUUGAAAAAUUAGAAGAUAAUGCGUGGGAACUGCAAGUGGGUUGUACGUCAAAGUAUACGAAAUUAGAUUUUGAGAAAAGUUUAUACUGGAAGGUCAAUAGACCUAUGAGGACAUUGAGCUAGCAGGGAAAAACGCCAACAAAUAAAAAUUUAAAAAAAUAAAUAAAAGCAAAGGCUGAUUUUUAUUCUUCUAUUCAAAAUAGAAGGACAGAUGCUUCUCUGUUCCAAGAGGGUUUCCUUGAGGAAGCUACUGAAGCAGAAAGACAUGAUGGAGACGAGAUCGCCUCCCCUCUUGUCAAAGUGUUAAAAAAAUGUUCUGUCUUACUCUGCGCCUAGCAUUGGAAAUGAAAGUGACAUUUACGCAACAACCCACGUGUGCGCCUCCUCUCUUUUUGUUUAAGGAUGAUCAGGUCUAUCCAGGAAACAGCUCUGGCAUCCCAAACUGAAAUAAUUAGGACGUAUAUAGACCUGACAAAAAUGGAAAGGGGGUGGGGAAUCUGAGGGUCUGUCUUGCCUAAUUGAUUCCGAUAAACGGAAUGCAGGAGAUGUGAACGGCAGGACGCUCCGAUUCCCACGCUCGGGGGCAAGUGGUAAAGCGGGCCGGCAGCCUAUGACAGACAGCCCUGUUUGGGGGGUGGGGGUAUGAAAAAAAACAUGAAGUGCACACACCAUACUCAUCUCCAUCGCUUAAGAAAGUAGAGGCAUUUCCCACCCACAGCCAUCUGCAGGCUCCCAAAUGGCAGCACCAAAUGGUCUGUAGCUGCUGCAUACUGUCUGUUUCUGUUAAUUUUAUAACUAAUGUUUAAUCUGGCCGUAAUUAAGUUUGGCUUUCUUCUUUGGUUGAGAUUUUCAAUAUUUAAGGAAAGCUAGUCAAGAGCAGUUCUAAGGAAAUCCCAUUCCUGCCUGCUCCUCCUGUCAAAUUCUCAGUCUGUACUUUUGGCCUUGAGACCACCUUUUGGCUUUUGUUUUAGGUGCGUUAUAUUUAAAAAUACAUAUUUCUAUAUAAUAGACAUUGUUAUCGCUUCAUUAGGCUGUUUACCUCUUAACAUGAUAGAUCUAAGAAUUUAGCCUAGUUAUGCUAGUGGACAAACACUGGAAAGUAAAGCUAUAAAAUCAUCAACCUAUAGAAAGUUUAUUGCAAUAACAACAUGGUAAAAGGUUGUUUUGGUACUGUCCCAGCGAGAUGCAGUCUAAACAGUCAUUUCUAUUUAACCUAAAAAUGACUCUGCUUAACAGAAACUUUGGCAUUUUGGUGAUCCUAUUGUACUCUUUUUGUAAAAGUUCUUAUAUUUUCCAUGUGUCACCAAGCAAAAAUAUGUAUAACCAUUUAAACAUAAAUACAAAUAUUGCAAUAGGAAAUGUCCCAAGUGGCCUGUUACUUCCAUGUGGCUUAGAUUACUGACAAUCCCAGAUCCCAAAUACACAGUUUUUCUUCAAAAGCAUUACAUUUUCCUUUGUUGCUCUAAGUCCUUGUAAUACUUCAUCCUGGAGAAGCCUGUAAAACCACUGUUAACUUCCGUUAGAAUCUCUGAGAGACUUUAUUAACGUAAAUUCUCAAUAUGGCUGCUGAACACGUGCCAAAGUUUUACUACGGUAGUGACCGUUGAGAAGACCCUUGUUUAUUUACAUUUGAAGCACUGUUUGUGCAAACAACCUUUCAUUGUUAAGUGCCUGUAUUCCUUUCAUUUACUUCAUGUCCAGGGGUGCUAUUUACCUAGAUCAUUGUCUACUACAAUUACAUUUACAUUACAAAGUGUGUGGUUUUCUUUCUCAAGGAGGUUCAAUUAAGGCAAUAAGAUGUUUGCUGGGGAAACCUAUUGUUUACUGAAAGCACUCAAUGGAGUCAAAUUACUGAAGCUUUUGCCUACAUCUUGGUCUUUUAUGUAAAUGUGUUAAAUACAACAUCUAAGGAAAAUAAACAAUAUUAUAAUUCUGUGUUUGCCAUUGUCAUAUCAAACUUGCUUUGUAUCAUACUAAUGUUACAUGACUUAUCGAUCAAUAAAAAUACAUUUCAAUGUUA